Molecule: long non-coding RNA, 771 nt
Filed under: Marmota monax (woodchuck)
Lineage: Eukaryota; Metazoa; Chordata; Mammalia; Rodentia; Sciuridae
Source: RNAcentral
GUGGAAAGACAUGAAGUUGGAGAAGUAGCAGGGCCAAGUCAUAUAGAAUUUUUUAGUCCAUGAUGAGGAAUCAGGAUUUUAUUUAAAGUGUAAUACAAAGAUAUUAGAAGAUAUAAAGCAGGCAAGGACUGAUUUAAUUCUGCCUGCUUUGUUUAAAGGAGAUUAAGGGGGAAAGAAUGAGAUGAAGGAACCUAUUCUGAUGGAGAUGUGGUUGUUUGCAUUAGAUAGUGGAGACAGAAAGAACCAAAUAUAUUUCUUAAGUAGAUCUAAUAGAAUGUGCUGAUAGAUUGGCUAUGGGAAAUGAGGAAAAGGGAAAUCAAGGAUGAUGCCAAAGAAGUUAGUCUAAGCAACUAUAGUAGGCUGAAAGAAAACAGGUUGGGGGAGGAGGGAAAAGUGAUUGGCUUUGAUUAUUAAGUAUGAGGUAUUGUACACCUAAAUGAGAUGUCAAUUAGGAAGUUGGAUAUAUGAUUCUAGAACUCAGGUCAGCACUAGAGAAAUUUGUAGUCAUGCAGGUGAUAUAUAAAGUCAUAGUAUUGUGGGAGAUGUCCUAGGAAGCGUGCUUAGGGAAGAGGGGAGGCCUAGAACUGAGGUAGAAAAACUGGGCUGUAUGUUAACUAAAGAAAGAACAAAUGUGUGACAGAAGAGAAUCAUUAACUUGAUAGAAAACUGCAGAGUGGAUGAAAAAAGAUAGAGGCAGAUAAGUGGCCCUUAGAUCUGAGGUGGAGGUCAUUGGUAAUCCUGGCAAAGUAGUUUCAUUUGAGUGGAAUAGUG